GAUGAACGCUGACAGAAUGCUUAACACAUGCAAGUCAACUUGAACUUCGGUUUGGGUGGCGGACGGGUGAGUAACGCGUAAAGAACUUGCCUCACAGCUAGGGACAACAUUUGGAAACGAAUGCUAAUACCUGAUAUUAUGAUUUUAGGGCAUCCUAGAAUUAUGAAAGCUAUAUGCGCUGUGAGAGAGCUUUGCGUCCCGUUAGCUAGUUGGAGAGGUAACGGCUCACCAAGGCGAUGAUGGGUAGCCGGCCUGAGAGGGUGAUCGGCCACAAGGGGACUGAGACACGGCCCUUACUCCUACGGGAGGCAGCAGUGGGGAAUAUUGGACAAUGGACCAAGAGUCUGAUCCAGCAAUUCUGUGUGCACGAUGAAGUUUUUCGGAAUGUAAAGUGCUUUCAGUUGGGAAGAAAAAAAUGACGGUACCAACAGAAGAAGUGACGGCUAAAUACGUGCCAGCAGCCGCGGUAAUACGUAUGCCACAAGCGUUAUCCGGAUUUAUUGGGCGUAAAGCGCGUCUAGGUGGUUAUAUAAGUCUGAUGUGAAAAUGCAGGGCUCAACUCUGUAUUGCGUUGGAAACUGUGUAACUAGAGUACUGGAGAGGUAAGCGGAACUACAAGUGUAGAGGUGAAAUUCGUAGAUAUUUGUAGGAAUGCCGAUGGGGAAGCCAGCUUACUGGACAGAUACUGACGCUGAAGCGCGAAAGCGUGGGUAGCAAACAGG
RNAcentral lists this ribosomal RNA (722 nucleotides) under uncultured Fusobacterium sp. Its description in RNAcentral is "bacterial SSU rRNA". It matches the Rfam family "Bacterial small subunit ribosomal RNA", at positions 28 to 776 of the family's 1533-position model. The record is from RNAcentral. Lineage: Bacteria; Fusobacteriati; Fusobacteriota; Fusobacteriia; Fusobacteriales; Fusobacteriaceae.